GGGGAUGUGGCUUAGUGGUAGAGUGCUUGCCUAGCAUGCAUGAAGACUUAGGUUUGAUUUCUUCAGCACCA
RNAcentral lists this transfer RNA (71 nucleotides) under Dipodomys ordii (Ord's kangaroo rat). It matches the Rfam family "tRNA". Rfam says of the family: Transfer RNA (tRNA) molecules are approximately 80 nucleotides in length. Their secondary structure includes four short double-helical elements and three loops (D, anti-codon, and T loops). Further hydrogen bonds mediate the characteristic L-shaped molecular structure. tRNAs have two regions of fundamental functional importance: the anti-codon, which is responsible for specific mRNA codon recognition, and the 3' end, to which the tRNAs corresponding amino acid is attached (by aminoacyl-tRNA synthetases). tRNAs cope with the degeneracy of the genetic code in two manners: having more than one tRNA (with a specific anti-codon) for a particular amino acid; and 'wobble' base-pairing, i.e. permitting non-standard base-pairing at the 3rd anti-codon position. Lineage: Eukaryota; Metazoa; Chordata; Mammalia; Rodentia; Heteromyidae. The record is from Rfam by way of RNAcentral.